GAUGAAGAACGUAGUGAAAUGCGAUAAGUAAUGUGAAUUGCAGAAUUCAGUGAAUCAUCGAAUCUUUGAACGCACAUUGCGCCCGCCAGUAUUCUGGCGGGCAUGCCUGUUCGAGCGUCAUUUCAACCAUCAAGCCCCCGGGCUUGUGUUGGGGACCUGCGGCUGCCGCAGGCCCUGAAAAGCAGUGGCGGGCUCGCUGUCACACCGAGCGUAGUAGAUUUUAUCUCGCUCAGGGCGUGCUGCGGGUUCCGGCCGUUAAACCACCUUCAUAACCCAAGGUUGACCUCGGAUCAGGUAGGAAGACCCGCUGAACUUAAGCAUAUCAAUAAGCGGAGGA
This 337-nucleotide unclassified non-coding RNA is filed under the name soil metagenome. RNAcentral describes it as "partial contains 5.8S ribosomal RNA, internal transcribed spacer 2, and large subunit ribosomal RNA". The stretch from base 1 to 120 matches the Rfam family "5.8S ribosomal RNA", at positions 35 to 154 of the family's 154-position model. The record is from RNAcentral.